RNAcentral lists this ribosomal RNA (496 nucleotides) under uncultured Streptococcus sp. RNAcentral describes it as "bacterial SSU rRNA". It matches the Rfam family "Bacterial small subunit ribosomal RNA", at positions 28 to 508 of the family's 1533-position model. Lineage: Bacteria; Bacillati; Bacillota; Bacilli; Lactobacillales; Streptococcaceae. The record is from RNAcentral.
GACGAACGCUGGCGGCGUGCCUAAUACAUGCAAGUAGAACGCUGAAGGAGGAGCUUGCUUCUCCGGAUGAGUUGCGAACGGGUGAGUAACGCGUAGGUAACCUGCCUGGUAGCGGGGGAUAACUAUUGGAAACGAUAGCUAAUACCGCAUAACAGUAGAUAUUGCAUGAUAUCUGCUUGAAGGGUGCAAUUGCAUCACUACCAGAUGGACCUGCGUUGUAUUAGCUAGUUGGUGAGGUAACGGCUCACCAAGGCAACGGUACAUAGCCGACCUGAGAGGGUGAUCGGCCACACUGGGACUGAGACACGGCCCAGACUCCUACGGGAGGCAGCAGUAGGGAAUCUUCGGCAAUGGACGGAAGUCUGACUGAGCAACGCCGCGUGAGUGAAGGAGGUUUUCGGAUCGUAAAGCUCUGUUGUAAGAGAAGAACGAGUGCGAGAGUGGAAAGUUUACACUGUGACGGUAUCUUACCAGAAAGGGACGGCUAACUACGUGC